Panthera uncia (snow leopard) is the source of this 1071-nucleotide non-coding RNA. The record is from the annotation of a RefSeq genome assembly. NCBI's taxonomy places the organism in Eukaryota, Metazoa, Chordata, Mammalia, Carnivora, Felidae.
UUCAUCACACAUUCGUCAUGUGUUUCUGAGCACGUAUAUCUUUCUUUAGAGCCUGUGAUAUGACCUUGCAGGGCCGUUUGGCUUGCUUAACACGGGAGUCAAGAUUUCCUAGGCGAUUCCACCAAAGGAUCAAGAAACUGGAGGAACAACCCUUUCAGCUUUGGGUGUAUUCCCAAAUGAAACCUUCCACUGCUUCUCCACAGGCCAUGCUGUCUGCUUCCUACUUAGGACUUUCAAUCUUGCUGAUAUUGAGAGGGAUCAAUGGAGAUUCAGUGACCCAGACAGAAGGUUCUGUUACCCUCUUUGAGGGGACACCUUUGACCCUGAAUUGCACUUACCAGAGUAGCUACACAGUUUUUGUUUUCUGGUAUGUCCAGUACCAAAACAAAGCUCCUCAAUUGCUCCUGAAAGGCUUAUCAGAAAACCAGAGGGCAGAGCAUCACGGUUUUCACGCCAGUCUUGUUAAGAGUGACAGCUCCUUCCACCUGCAGAAACGCUCUGUGAGAAUGUCAGACUCUGCUGUGUACUACUGCGUCCUAGGAGGCACAGCGAGAUCGCCUGCAGGGGGAGCCGAGCACAAACCCAGAGGGGCGCAGGAGGGCCCUGGAUGUGAGCAGCCUGGGAGGGGAGAAUGAUGAUUUCUCUCUAGUUAGAGUCUUGUGCUGGGCGCGGCCCCCAGGGAACAGAUACCUGAUGCCUCCGCCCUCAGGCACCCCGAGUUUUACUUCGAGCUAGGAAUGGAAGGAGGCAAUGUAGGUGAAAACUUAGAUUAUAAUUAUGCCUAUACAUAGAAUCCUAUAGUCAAUGGCCUUUUGUGUCUGGUUUCUUUCACACAGCAUCACCUUUUCAAGGUGUAUCCAUGUAUCAGUACUUUAGUACUUCUGUGGCUGCGCAAUAAUCCAUUGUAUGGAUACCCUAUAUUUUCUUUGUCCAUUCAUCAGUUGAUGGGCAUUUUGGUUGUUUCCACUUUUUGUGAAAACACUCAUGUACAGAAGCUCUGCUCUUUCAAACUUGAAUAUAUUUUAAGUUAGAGAUUUCUGGGUAUUUUUUCGUUUUGUUUUUUGCUUUAUU